AGACCCGUAGCUCAGUUGGUUAGAGCGCUGCCUUGACAUGGCAGAGGUCAGCAGUUCAAAUCUGCUCGGGUCUA
RNAcentral lists this transfer RNA (74 nucleotides) under Microbulbifer yueqingensis. Its description in RNAcentral is "tRNA_Val_GAC". It matches the Rfam family "tRNA". Rfam says of the family: Transfer RNA (tRNA) molecules are approximately 80 nucleotides in length. Their secondary structure includes four short double-helical elements and three loops (D, anti-codon, and T loops). Lineage: Bacteria; Pseudomonadati; Pseudomonadota; Gammaproteobacteria; Cellvibrionales; Microbulbiferaceae. The record is from RNAcentral. RNAcentral also lists the same sequence under 1 other name.